UACAAACCUGACUCAGUUACACCAGCUCUGUCAGGAGGAAUGGGUCAAAAUUCACCCUACUUAUUUUUGGAAGCUUGUGGAAGGCUACCUGAAACAUUUAACCCAAGUUAAACAAUUUAAAGGCAAUGCUAAAAAAUACUAAUUGAGUGUAUGUAAACUUCUGACCUGGGAAUGUGAUGAAAGAAAUAAAAUCUGAAAUAAAUUCUCUCUACUAUUAUUCUGACAUUUCACAUUCCUAAAAUAAAGUGGUGAUCCUAACCGAUCUAAGAAAGGGAAUUUUUAAUGGGAUUAAAUUUCAGGAAUUAGUGAAAAACUGAGUUUAAAUGUAUUUUGCUAAGGUGUAUGUAAACUUCCGACUUCAACUGUAUGUUUUAAAUGACGAUCUGUUGUUGUCCUCAGGGAGAGCUGAAGAAGUCCUCUCCGGGAUCGCUUGUCAACGCAGAACACAGAGGACUAUCUCCCAAAGUAAUCACAGGCUUUAUGAGUCUAAUGUGUAAAUACCGGUCAGGUUAUUAAUGUUGUUGUCCUCGGGGAGAGAAGACCUCAGGCUUUAUGAGUCUAAUGUGUAAUUACUGGUCAGGUUAUUAAUGUUGUUGUCCUCGGGGAGAGAAGACCUCAGGCUUUAUGAGUCUAAUGUGCAAUUACUGGUCAGGUUAUUAAUGUUGUUGUCCUCAGGCUUUAUGAGUCUAAUGUGUAAUUACUGGUCAGGUUAUUAAUGUUGUUGUCCUCAGGCUUUAUGAGUCUAAUGUGUAAUUACUGGUCAAGUUAUUAAUGUUGUUGUCCUCAGGCUUUAUGAGUCUAAUGUGUAAUUACUGGUCAGGUUAUUAAUGUUGUCCACAGGCUUUAUGAGUCUAAUGUGUAAUUACUGGUCAGGUUAUUAAUGUUGUUGUCUACAGGCUUUAUGAGUCUAAUGUGUAAUUACUGGUCAGGUUAUUAAUGUUGUUGUCCUCGAGGAGAGAAGACCUCAGGCUUUAUGAGUCUAAUGUAUAAUUACUGGUCAGGUUAUUCAUGUGUAAUUACCGGUCAGGUUAUUAAUGUUGUCGCUUCCUUCUGAAUCCUCAUUUCUGUAUUUUAUUUCAACAGAUGAGUCUGGGAGUGACAGAGUUGAAAUGAUGGAGAUGCAACCCUUACUGGGUCCUGGAUCAGGAGAGAUAGGCAAGACAGGCUGUUGAAGCACUGGGAGAUCAGGAGAGAGAGG
RNAcentral lists this long non-coding RNA (1198 nucleotides) under Salmo salar (Atlantic salmon). RNAcentral describes it as "lncRNA (ENSSSAG00000090596.1)". The record is from RNAcentral. Lineage: Eukaryota; Metazoa; Chordata; Actinopteri; Salmoniformes; Salmonidae.